AUGGGUGUGCCCACUCAGCUCCUGGGGUUGUUGCUGCUGUGGAUAACAGAUGGAAUAUGUGACAUCCAGAUGACACAGUCUCCAGCUUCCCUGUCUGCAUCUCUGGGAGAAACUGUCACCAUCGAAUGUCUAGCAAGUGAAGACAUUUACAGUAAUUUAGCGUGGUAUCAGCAGAAGCCAGGGAAAUCUCCUCAGCUCCUGAUCUAUGAUGCAAGUAGCUUGCAAGAUGGGGUCCCAUCACGGUUCAGUGGCAGUGAAUCUGGCACACAGUAUUCUCUCGAGAUCAACAGCCUGCAAUCUGAAGAUGCCGCGACUUAUUUCUGUCAACAGCAUCAUGAUUAUCCUCCCACAGUGAUUCAAGCCAUGACAUAAACCAUGCAGGGAAGCAGAAGUGAGAGUACAGGGUGCCCCAGCUGAUCCUCAUGAUGACUCCAGCUGCUCAGCUGCUGUGUUUUCUUUGCCAGGGAUAAAUGUCAAUGUAAUCUUUUUACAUAGGAGUCAGAGAAACUGUUCUGUGUCCUAAAUCCUUGUUUUCCCACAUGACUAUUAUGAAAAGAAUGGAAUGGUUUACACUACUUAUUAAAAAAAGGAAAAUAAAAACACUGAAAUACCU
Molecule: non-coding RNA, 613 nt
Organism: Rattus norvegicus (Norway rat)
Lineage: Eukaryota; Metazoa; Chordata; Mammalia; Rodentia; Muridae
Source: the annotation of a RefSeq genome assembly